GACGAACGCUGGCGGCGUGCUUAACACAUGCAAGUCGAACGGAAAGGCCCUGCUUUUGUGGGGUGCUCGAGUGGCGAACGGGUGAGUAACACGUGAGUAACCUGCCCUUGACUUUGGGAUAACUUCAGGAAACUGGGGCUAAUAUCGGAUAGGAGCUCCUGCUCCAUGGUGGGGGUUGGUAAGUUUGGGCGGUUGUGGCUGGACUCGCGGCUUAUCCGCUUGUUGGUCGGGUAGUGGCUUUCCAAGGCUUCGACGGGUAGCCGGCCUUGGAGGGUGAACGGGCACAAGGGGACUGAGAGAGGGACCAGAAUCCUACGGGAGGCAGUAGUGGGGAAUAUUGCGCAAUGGGCGGAAGCCUGAUGCAGAGACGCCGCGUGCGUAAUGACGUCCUUCGGGUUGUAAACAGCUUUGUCCUGUGACGAAGCGUGAGUGACGGUACUGGGUAAAGAAGCACCGGCUAACUACGUG
Molecule: ribosomal RNA, 468 nt
Filed under: uncultured bacterium
Lineage: Bacteria
Description: partial 16S ribosomal RNA
Rfam family: Bacterial small subunit ribosomal RNA
Source: RNAcentral